AGGACGAACGCUGGCGGCGUGCUUAACACAUGCAAGUCGAACGGAGGCUUUCCUCGGGGGAAGCCUUAGUGGCGGACGGGUGAGUAACGCGUGAGCAAUCUGCCUUGCACAGGGGGAUAACAACUGGAAACGGUUGCUAAUACCGCAUAACGUAACGGGGAGGCAUCUUUCUGUUACCAAAGGAGCAAUCCGGUGCAAGAUGAGCUCGCGUCCGAUUAGAUAGUUGGCGGGGCAACGGCCCACCAAGUCAACGAUCGGUAGCCGGACUGAGAGGUUGACCGGCCACAUUGGGACUGAGACACGGCCCAGACUCCUACGGGAGGCAGCAGUGGGGAAUAUUGGGCAAUGGGCGAAAAAGCCUGACCCAGCAACGCCGCGUGAAGGAUGAAGGUUUUCGGAUUGUAAACUUCUUUGACUGAGGACGACAAAAGGACGGUACUCAGAAAACAAGCCACGGCUAACUACGUGCCAGCCGCGGC
Molecule: ribosomal RNA, 479 nt
Filed under: uncultured bacterium
Lineage: Bacteria
Description: bacterial SSU rRNA
Rfam family: Bacterial small subunit ribosomal RNA
Source: RNAcentral